UGUAAAACUAAGUAAUAUAUCAUUGAUCGUAAAUGUCACCUUCUCAAAUCCAUCCAGCCUGAAUCCGAUCUGGAAGAUGAGAAUGGACAGCACGAACAUGCGCAGCAACGAAGAUUACAGCUAGACAUCUCUGAUAGGAUCUGUAAAGAUGGCGGACAGUACUCCUCGUCAGCUCAAGACCAAACAUCGACAAACUCCUGCUAGCUACACACCAGCAGUACAUUGCUCAGCUUCUGGACCGUUACUCCUGGCUGCUUCUCUUUUCUCUUCUUCUUCCGGGAGUGCGCCGACCUGAAUCUACUACAGGUAACACACUGGCUAUAUGGCUCAUACAACCCCAA
Molecule: long non-coding RNA, 341 nt
Organism: Seriola aureovittata
Lineage: Eukaryota; Metazoa; Chordata; Actinopteri; Carangiformes; Carangidae
Exons: 3
Source: RefSeq, a predicted model, not a curated record